This is a long non-coding RNA of Rhopalosiphum padi (bird cherry-oat aphid), 1586 nucleotides long. RefSeq lists it as uncharacterized. Lineage: Eukaryota; Metazoa; Arthropoda; Insecta; Hemiptera; Aphididae. The record is from RefSeq and is a predicted model, not a curated record. The transcript is spliced from 4 exons.
AUCUAACAGUGUAACAUAAUUAAUACAUUUUAAUAUAAUAUUAUAAGAUAUCAUUGUAAAUAAUUUGUAUAAUUAUGCAUUAUCAAUUAUUAAACUGCUGAAAUGUUAAUUAAUAUUAUCAAUAAGUUAGAUUACUGUCAGGAACAAUUUAAAAUAAAAAAUAAAAAAAUAAUAAUAAGAUCGGUCAAUCCCUUAGUGCAGUGAUUCAGUGAACAAUCCAUUAACCUAUAUAUUAUGGCUGAAUACGAUUAUUUUUUGAUAGCUAUAUCGGAUAUCCUAUAUCUAAUAAUAGUUAUAUCAGCAAGUGUUCCUAUAAAUUAUAAUGAAUAUCACAUAAAUAUUGCAAUCGUCACAUUCACUUGGGAGGGGGGCUCUAUUCAUGAAAGAUGUGCGCUCUUUUUACGCGAGUUCAUUAUUUUUUUUUGUGAAUUUGUGUCAUUUGUAAUAAUAAUGAAUUAACGUACUAUAUAUAGGCGUCAUUGCUCCGAUUAUACUACAAGAUGCGAAUAUGUUUUAUAUUAAUUAACAUUUUAUAAAAUCAUGGCUGAAAAACAGUGAAGAAGAAUUUGUCAUUGAGCUGAUGGAAAAUGUGUCGGCACUCGGCUGUAUUUCAACACGGAGGACGUCUGGCAGCAGCAAAAAGAAAUUCAACUGAUGAUCAACUGCCCAAAGGAUUUGUUGUGAAGCAGAAUUUGUCAUUGAGCUGAUGGAAAAUGUGUCGGCACUCGGCUGUAUAUCAACACGGAGGACGUCUAGCAGCAGCAAAAAGAUAUUCAACUGACGAUAAUCAACUGUCGAAAGGAUUUGUUGUGAAGAAGAAUUUGUCAUUGAGCUGAUGGGAAAUGUGUUGGCACUCGGCUUCGUUUCAACCCGGAGGAAGAUUGGCAGCAUUUUAGUAUAAGUUUUCCCCUAACGCAUUAGCGCUCAUCUCUCAUCCACUCAUCCAACACAUUGACUAUCGCCGUCCGGCAACACACACAUAUUAUACACAUUACCCGUUUUAUAUUUUAUAAUUUUAUUAAUAUCUACAUAUAGUUUAAGUUAUUGUAUAUUUUUUUUUUAUUAUUUGAAUGCAUUCAUAUGAUCUGUGGCGUAUUUAGGAAUUUUAGGAUAAGGGCAACACAUAUUUUGCCCCCCCCCCUAUUAAAAAACUUCUAUGCCGCGCAAUGGUGAAACUGUUAAUACCAUAGAAUACCAUGUUAUAUAAAUACUAUAGUAUUUUAUACCUCUGUGGCACACAUUUGUUGUGAAAAAUAUUAAUGAUUGACGUCACUGCGCCAGUACUCAUAAAGUACGAAAUAAAAAUUUGCCGUUCUGGACAACUGGACCCAAAGCUCCUACCAAAUACGCCCCUGCAUAUAAUGCGUUCUCGCUUACGAUGUGGAUUAGGCCUACUGGGGACACCACAAUAAAAAACGCGCCUCGUGUAAUACCUCAUAAAGUUAUUAAACAAUACGGACAAUGUUAUUGUACGUCGUUUAAUAAAAAAGGUGGUGUGGAAAAUUACCUAACACUGUUGUUCUUAUCUUAUAGUUAUCUUGCAUACAUUUUUUUAAAAUUAAAUACCAAUUAAAUAAUUAUUUAUA